Molecule: unclassified non-coding RNA, 342 nt
Filed under: soil metagenome
Description: partial contains 5.8S ribosomal RNA, internal transcribed spacer 2, and large subunit ribosomal RNA
Rfam family: 5.8S ribosomal RNA (bases 1-120)
Source: RNAcentral
GAUGAAGAACGUAGCGAAAUGCGAUAAGUAAUGUGAAUUGCAGAAUUCAGUGAAUCAUCGAAUCUUUGAACGCACAUUGCGCCCUCCAGCACUCUGGCGGACAUGCCUGUUCGAGCGUCAUUUCAACCAUCAAGCCCCCAGGGGCUUGUGCUGGGGCCCUGCGGCUGCCCGCAGGCCCUGAAAACCAGUGGCGGGCUCGCUAGUCACACCGAGCGCAGUAGCACAUCUCGCUCAGGGCGUGCGGCGGGCUCCUGCCGUGAAACCCCCCACUGUAACCCCAAAGGUUGACCUCGGAUCAGGUAGGAAUACCCGCUGAACUUAAGCAUAUCAAUAAGCGGAGGA